GAUGAACGCUGGCGGCGUGCCUAAUACAUGCAAGUCGAGCGAACAGACGAGGAGCUUGCUCCUUUGACGUUAGCGGCGGACGGGUGAGUAACACGUGGGUAACCUACCUAUAAGACUGGGAUAACUUCGGGAAACCGGAGCUAAUACCGGAUAAUAUUUCGAACCGCAUGGUUCGAUAGUGAAAGAUGGCUUUGCUAUCACUUAUAGAUGGACCUGCGCCGUAUUAGCUAGUUGGUAAGGUAACGGCUUACCAAGGCAACGAUACGUAGCCGACCUGAGAGGGUGAUCGGCCACACUGGAACUGAGACACGGUCCAGACUCCUACGGGAGGCAGCAGUAGGGAAUCUUCCGCAAUGGGCGAAAGCCUGACGGAGCAACGCCGCGUGAGUGAUGAAGGUCUCCGGAUCGUAAAACUCUGUUAUUAGGGAAGAACAAACGUGUAAGUAACUGUGCACGUCUUGACGGUACCUAAUCAGAAAGCCACGGCUAACUACGU
RNAcentral lists this ribosomal RNA (496 nucleotides) under uncultured bacterium. Its description in RNAcentral is "partial 16S ribosomal RNA". It matches the Rfam family "Bacterial small subunit ribosomal RNA", at positions 28 to 506 of the family's 1533-position model. The record is from RNAcentral.